AAUCCGGGGCACCCAGCCCCCGAGUUGUAAUUUCGAGAGGCAUCUUCUGGGGGGAGCGUCGGCCCAUGUUCCUUGGAACAGGACGUCACAGAGGGUGAGAAUCCCGUGCAUGGCCGGCUGCCCCCUCCGCCGUGAAGGGCCUUCGACGAGUCGAGUUGUUUGGGAAUGCAGCUCCAAGUGGGUGGUAAAUUUCAUCUAAAGCUAAAUACCGGCGGGAGACCGAUAGCGCACAAGUAGAGUGAUCGAAAGAUGAAAAGCACUUUGAAAAUAGAGUCAAAAAGUACGUGAAAUUGUUGAAAGGGAAGCGCUUGAGACCAGACUCAGGCCCAGGCAAACACCGAUCCCCUCGGGGCCGUGCAAUUGCCUGGGCCUGGGCCAGCAUCAGUUGGCGUGGCGGGACAAAGGCACGGGCAAUGUGGCUCCCCUCGGGGAGUGUUAUUAGGCCCGCGCUCAAUGCCGCCGACGUCGACUGAGGACCGCGCCUCGGCUAGGAUGCUGGCUUAAUGGCCUUCAGCGACCCGUCUUGAAACACGGACCAAGGAGUCUAACACCUAUGCGAGUGUUUGGGCGUCAAACCCUUGCGCGCAAUGAAAGUGAGCGGAGGUGGGAACCCCUCCACGGGCGCACCAUCGACCGAUCCUGAUGUCUUCGGAUGGAUUUGAGUAG
Molecule: ribosomal RNA, 666 nt
Filed under: Helvella nigra
Lineage: Eukaryota; Fungi; Ascomycota; Pezizomycetes; Pezizales; Helvellaceae
Description: eukaryotic LSU rRNA
Rfam family: Eukaryotic large subunit ribosomal RNA
Source: RNAcentral